RNAcentral lists this transfer RNA (63 nucleotides) under Calomicrus suturalis. Its description in RNAcentral is "tRNA-Pro". Lineage: Eukaryota; Metazoa; Arthropoda; Insecta; Coleoptera; Chrysomelidae. The record is from RNAcentral.
CAGAUAUUAGUUUAUUAAAAUUUUAAUUUUGGAGAUUAAAGAUAGAGAUUUUUCUAUAUCUGA